Molecule: ribosomal RNA, 473 nt
Filed under: uncultured bacterium
Lineage: Bacteria
Description: partial 16S ribosomal RNA
Rfam family: Bacterial small subunit ribosomal RNA
Source: RNAcentral
GACGAACGCUGGCGGCGUGCUUAACACAUGCAAGUCGAACGGUAAGGCCCUUCGGGGUACACGAGUGGCGAACGGGUGAGUAACACGUGGGUGAUCUGCCCUGCACUUCGGGAUAAGCCUGGGAAACUGGGUCUAAUACCGGAUAGGACCACUGCCUGCAUGGGUGGUGGUGGAAAGCUUUUGCGGUGUGGGAUGGGCCCGCGGCCUAUCAGCUUGUUGGUGGGGUGAUGGCCUACCAAGGCGACGACGGGUAGCCGGCCUGAGAGGGUGACCGGCCACACUGGGACUGAGAUACGGCCCAGACUCCUACGGGAGGCAGCAGUGGGGAAUAUUGCACAAUGGGCGCAAGCCUGAUGCAGCGACGCCGCGUGCAGGAUGACGCUUCUCGGAGUGUAAACUGCUUUUAUAUGGGAAGAUUAUGACGGUACCAUAUGAAUAAGGACCGGCUAACUACGUGCCAGCAGCCGCCGUAA